Molecule: long non-coding RNA, 895 nt
Organism: Rhodamnia argentea
Lineage: Eukaryota; Viridiplantae; Streptophyta; Magnoliopsida; Myrtales; Myrtaceae
Exons: 3
Source: RefSeq, a predicted model, not a curated record
ACUUCUUCCCGUAAGCAAAGCUGAAAGGCAGAGUCUCAACGUUUCCAAAUCUUCCUGCUUGAGAUUGCUUCGUUAUUGUCCAUGGAAGAACCGCCAUCUUCUUCUUCGACGACCGCACUGCAUCCUCUUUCUUACUGGGAUUGCCUCCACCUGUUUAUUCUCCGUCCGUUUCUCGCCAUCUCCUUCGUCUUCUGCUUCAUUCUUCUCGGUUGGGUUUUGGCUUGGAAGCUAGUUCUGGUUCAUGUUCCUCUGGUUCAGGAGAUCUUCGGCCUCCGGAAGAAGACCGUCAAUCCGAAGCCUCCGACUCGCCAUCGGUUUUCCAAGUUCUACAGUAGCAUGAAUCGUGAUCCCCAACACUCUUGACUCUAAAGAGCCGAUUUGAGAUCGUUCAUCCAGAUAGAUCGAGCAACUCUUGGAUGAGGGGGGCAAUCGAGCUUGUAAGGUCUCACUAUGUUUGACAAGCAUGAGGAACCUCAGAAGUGUGUGCUGGAGACAUGCUGAUAUUCCACACCCAAUCUUUAAUGGUGUCAAUAUGUCCGGAAGGUCGAAGAUCAUCCAGUUCGAAGAUUAGUAGUCUUGAUACAUUAGAGGUGUAACCAUUCAUUCUGUGCGUAUUCAGCUCCAUCUCGUCAGUGUUUUUACUCAUUUAGUGCGUAUCCUGUUCCAUCUCUUAUCCAGUCCAAAUUACACGGAGUUUAUGUGCGAGCAGUAUGGCCAGCGUUUUUAAGCAGUAGGCAUGUUGAAUGAACAAAUUUUUCAGCUUCGACGCCAUAGCUAGUACCUGGUGCUUGUCUUGCUACAAUUUGAUUGGUACCUUCCGAGCCAUAAAUGCUCAAAAUCGCAAAAGGUAAAGGUGCUUAGCUGGAAUCUCAUUUUAAAUGCUAUUUUGGUUCAA